UAAGCAUAUUACUAAGCGGAGGAAAAGAAACUAACAAGGAUUCCCCCAGUAACGGCGAGUGAAGCGGGAAGAGCUCAGGUUGUAAAUCCGGCCCUUUGGGCCCGAAUUGUAGUCUGGAGAGGCGACGCCAGCCGCUGUCCGCGGCCAAGUCUGAUUGGAAAUGAGCAUCAAGGAGGGUGAUAAUCCCGUUCGGGCCGCGGUAUCAAUCAGCGUGCGGAAGGCGCGCUUUCGACGAGUCGAGUUGCUUGGGAUUGCAGCUCAAAGUGGGUGGUAAACUCCAUCCAAAGCUAAACACGGGGGGGAGACCGAUAGCGAACAAGUACCGUGAGGGAAAGAUGCAAAGAACUUUGAAAAGAGAGUUAAAGAGUGCCUGAAAUUGCUGAAAGGGAAGCGAAGGAAAGCAGUGUCGUCGGUAGCGCUUCUCCGUGGCCCCCUCGGGGGCUCGGCUUGCGCUCCGGCGUGGCCAGGGAUGGGUGGAUCUUUCUCGCGGGAUGCUGCGCGCCCGGAAGGUAGCUCUCUUCGGAGUGUGAAUACCGGCGCGUUUUGUCGCGAGUCCGGCCGUCCCUGACGAAAUGUUUUUCUUUACCCCGUCUUGAAACACGGACCAAGGAUUCUAACA
This 619-nucleotide ribosomal RNA is filed under the name Homoeostrichus sp. LBC129. RNAcentral describes it as "LSU rRNA". It matches the Rfam family "Eukaryotic large subunit ribosomal RNA", at positions 35 to 680 of the family's 3401-position model. Lineage: Eukaryota; Phaeophyceae; Dictyotales; Dictyotaceae. The record is from RNAcentral.